GUGAAUUGAAUAUGUUAGCGGACCUCUUCGGAGUCCCUAGCAUCAAAUCAUAUCCAUAACACCUGUGAACUGUAAGGCUGUCUUGAAAACGAAAGUGAUUAGAGCGCCUGCCCAUUUUAUACAAACAUUAAAGUAACAAACGUAGUCUUAUUAUAAUCUAAUA
This 163-nucleotide unclassified non-coding RNA is filed under the name uncultured fungus. RNAcentral's name for it is "sequence contains ITS1, 5.8S rRNA gene". RNAcentral also lists the same sequence under 2 other names. The record is from RNAcentral. Lineage: Eukaryota; Fungi.